RNA transcript from Abrus precatorius (Indian licorice), 4009 nucleotides. It is a transcript of the gene named putative disease resistance protein RGA1, with no coding region annotated. The transcript is spliced from 3 exons. NCBI's taxonomy places the organism in Eukaryota, Viridiplantae, Streptophyta, Magnoliopsida, Fabales, Fabaceae. The record is from RefSeq and is a predicted model, not a curated record.
GACUCAGAACUCCACAUUAAUGCAUUGGGGCCGCUGAGUACAUAUGCGCAUAGGGCUUUUGCUUCCUCCGUUCCCAAUCUCAAAAUCUACACAUUGCAGCUUCAUAUUCAAACACGAAGGAGCCUUCUCUCUCUCUCUCUCUCUCUCGAUCAUUUCAGGGAUGGCUGAACCAAUUCCAUUUGCUGUUACUUCAAAUCUCAUUCACAGGUUAGCUUCCGCAGAUUUUCUUGAAUUUGGACAGGAGUAUGCUGAGUAUGGUGUGAUGGAAGAGUUAGAAGAGCUUAAGAACACUAUUGAAUCCAUCAAUGGUAAGCUCCUUGAUGCCGACGAUAAACAAGAGCAAGACGAUGAUGUGCGAGUUUGGAUCAGAAGGUUCAAAAAAGUACUCCAUGCUGCAGAUGACUUCAUAGAUGACCUUGCUAUCGAAUUUAGGAGAGACAACAUGGGUGCAGCCGAAGGAAAAGAAGUAAACAGGGUACUUCGUUCCAUUUCAUCUUCAAAUCAACUUCCUUUAUACAGUGAAAUGCGUGACAAAAUUAAAGUAAUACGAGAAAGUUUUAACGAUGUAGUGAAAGAAAUGAAGGAUUUGAAUUUAAUCUCAAAUUCUAUGCUGGUUAAGCGAAGUGAAUGCAGGGAAACAGAUUCUUUUGUGAUAGAAUCUGAUAUCAUUGGAAGAGAUGAUAGUAAAGAGGAGAUUAUCAGUCUGUUGAUACAACCUCAUGAAAACCAAAAAGUUUCUGUGAUUGCCAUUGUUGGCCUUGGUGGUUUGGGGAAGACAGCUCUUGCUCAAUUGGUGUAUAAGGAAUUGGAAGAGCAGAAUUAUUUUGAAAUGCAAAUGUGGGUGUGUGUCUCUGAUAAGUUUGAUGUUAAAACUAUUCUGAAGAAAAUAUUAGAAUCAAUUCAUGAUGGCCAAAGACAGGACCAAUCAUUAGAGAAGUUGCAAAAAGAGCUUCGUAGAAGUUUAAGUGGUAAGAAAUAUUUGUUGGUCUUGGAUGACAUUUGGAAUAAGAGUCAUAAAAAGUGGGCUGAAUUGAGAAAGUACCUGAUGUGUGGUGCUCAAGAUAGCAAGAUUUUAGUGACAACUCGAAGUAAAAAUGUAGCAAAGGUAAUGACUGCUAGCACUUCCUAUCCUUUGAAAGGUUUGACUGAUGAAGAAUCUUGGAGUUUGUUGAAGAACAUUGCAUUUGAGGAUGAUUCCAAAGUCAAUCGAAAUCUAGAAUCAAUUGGGAAAGAAAUAGCCAAAAAAUGCAAAGGGGUUCCACUAGCAGUUAAAUCGCUGGGAGGCCUGUUACUAGGACAAAACCAAGAAAGUGGAUGGGAGAAUGUUUUACACGGUGACUUCUGGAAAUUAUGUGAAGAGCAAGAUAGUGUUAUGCCAAUUCUAAAACUCAGUUACCACAACUUGUCAUCAGACAUGAGACAAUGUUUUGCUUUUUGCUCUUUGUACCCCAAGGAUUCAGAAAUUCCGAAGGAUGAGUUGAUUCAGUUAUGGAUGGCACAGGGUUACCUUAAAUGUUCAACUGAGAAACAGUGCAUGGAGGAUGUGGGUAAUCAAUUUGUAAAGAUGCUUUUGAUGAACUCAUUCUUUCAAGAUGCAGAACGAUGAAUAUGGUGAGAUCAUUAGUUUCAAAAUGCAUGAUUUAAUGCAUGAUCUUGCAAUGCUAGUAGCUGGCAAUGAUUAUUGUUACUUGAAUAGUAAGGCAGAAAAAGUUGAAGGUAGACCCAUGCACGUGUCAUUGGAAUCUGAUGAGACCAUUCAUCUGUUGAAAUCAUUAGAUCCGAGCAGGCUGCGAACUUUGAUUUUGCCGGAUGACUUGGAAGAGGAGGAAUAUUUGUCGGUUAUUGCAAAGUUCAAAUACUUACGUGCCUUGAGUAUGCAUCAUCUCUCUGAUUACACUGAACAUUCGAAGCAUUUAAGAUACCUUGUUUUAAGGCGACAAACAAGUCUUCCCAAAUCGAUAAGCAAUCUUGUUUUCCUACAAACAUUAAAAUUGUGGGAGUGCGACGAAGAAUCAUUUUCAGAAGUAGUCACAAAAUUAGUCAAUUUGAGGUGCCUUGGUAUUGCAGAUAAUGACUCCAUGAUGAGUGCUAUGCCAGUUGGGUUGGGAAAAUUAUGCUCUUUGCAGUUCUUAUCGACCUUUGUUGUGGGAGACAGCCAAGAAAUAAAGUAUGGCACGCUAAAUGAACUGAAGGACUUAAACCUAAUAAGAGGCAACUUAGAAAUUGUGCAUCUGAAUCGUGUGAGAGAAGUGGCUCUGGAAUCACAGCACGUAAAUUUAAAAGAAAAAAAUUUCCUUCGAUCCUUGACUCUGUAUUGGUCGCAUGGAGACAUCCAUAACAGUGACAGCUUGCAGUUAUUGGAAAACCUUCAACCCCACCGUAAUCUUAAGCGUUUGGAGGUGUUUUAUUAUCCAGGCGUGCUUUUCCCAAAUUGGCUCUCUCUCCUCACAAAUGUUGUUGACAUCACUCUCCUUGGGUUUGAUAAUUGUCGCUGUCUCCCACCGCUUGAACGUCUCCCGUCCCUGAAGUCCCUUAUGAUACACUCUCUGUAUGAAUUGGAAUACAUAUAUCUCUACGAAGAUGGUUUUGCAGUAACCUUCUUCCAAUCUUUGGAGAGCCUCACAUUAGAGAGUUGUCCUAAGCUUAUGGUAUGGCGGAGGCGGGCAGAUGAUAUCAAUGAUUCCCAUAAACUCUCCUCAUCUCUUUCCUUUCCUCAUCUUUCUCGACUGGAAGUCUUUGAAUGUCCACAGUUGACUUGCAUGCCUACUUUUCCAAACGUUAAGGCUAUAAGAUGGUAUGAACGCAAUGGGGAGCCAUUAAUAGCGACACUAAACACAAGAGCGUCAACAUGUUCAGCUGACUCAUCUUCCUCAGCUGCUCCUCUUUCCAUGCUUAAAAAAUUGACCAUUUCUGAUCCUAUGAAUUUACCAAGGGGUUGGAUGCAAAAUCUGACUUCUCUCAAGUCUCUUCGAAUUCAAUGGUGUGACAAUGAAACACUCCAAGAAUUUGAAACUGGGUUUAAGGAUGACACCAACUGCCUUCCUUCUAUGCGAAAAAUCAGCAUACUUAUGUGUGAAAGGCUAAAGGCUUUGCCAGAUUGGAUUUGCAACCUCUCAUCGCUUCAGCACAUCAAGAUCUACGGUUGCCCAAAUUUGGCAUCGCUUCCCGAAGGAAUGAUUGGUCUUACCAACUUAAAGAUCUUUGAGGUUCAGCGCUGUUCCCUCUUACUUAAAGAGUGCCGAACAGAGACAAGUGCUGUUAGUCGCCAAAUCGCACAUAUCCCACGUAUUAUCCUUGGAUGAUCACCGAUAAUAAAGAAUCUUGCAGGUAACAUUAUCUUUCUCCACUUCUUCAAACAACAAAAAUCAGUAACAUUAGUUCAUUGUUUCGCCUUUUGGUUGCGAAGAUAAAAAGUAACACUUCAUUCUUUCACUGUCCAUUACUCAAACACUCACAAGUUCUAAUGACAAGUUUUCUUGCAACAAAUUCUUGGACACUGACAACAACCUAUAUAAAUAAUAUUUUAAAUUCUUUUAUGUACUUAUUUUAAAUACAUGAACCCAAGUAAAAUAGCGAUAACAAUAGCAAUGCAGCAGUGGUGUUUUAACACGAAUCAAGUACCGUGGUGGCCUCUUAAGAAUUAACUCUCGUUAUUGAAUAUGGUGCAAACUCUUGAAAACAGUAACACCACUCUCAAUUUUAACUCUUAGUUUGGUUAGAUCAUAAUAAUAGGUUCUAUAGUUAGUGGGUUUGGGUUGUGUCUUUUGUUCUUGCAUUCUAGGUUUAAGCAUUGUGUUUUGUACCCUACAGUGCUUCAACUUCUUCUGAACUAGUAAAGUUUGCACUUUUUUUGAAAUCUGAUUGUUUUUGUUGUUUUAAUCCAAAUGGGGAGUUCAAAUUGUAAUGGCUGCAGAUUGUGGGUGGAUGACAUUUAUUGGACCCAUUUUAAGUUCCUUCAUUUUGUGCAAUUUCUCUAUGUUGGUUAUGAUCAAGGCCUUGUGAGUUCUUU